CAGUCGCCGCGGUAAUACGUAGGUCCCGAGCGUUGUCCGGAUUUAUUGGGCGUAAAGCGAGCGCAGGCGGUUAGAUAAGUCUGAAGUUAAAGGCUGUGGCUUAACCAUAGUACGCUUUGGAAACUGUUUAACUUGAGUGCAAGAGGGGAGAGUGGAAUUCCAUGUGUAGCGGUGAAAUGCGUAGAUAUAUGGAGGAACACCGGUGGCGAAAGCGGCUCUCUGGCUUGUAACUGACGCUGAGGCUCGAAAGCGUGGGGCGCAAACAGGAUUAGAUACCCGCGUAGUCCCUGUCUCUUAUACC
RNAcentral lists this ribosomal RNA (301 nucleotides) under uncultured bacterium. RNAcentral's name for it is "partial 16S ribosomal RNA". It matches the Rfam family "Bacterial small subunit ribosomal RNA", at positions 509 to 808 of the family's 1533-position model. The record is from RNAcentral.